UCUUCAUCUUCCUCAUGU
RNAcentral lists this small RNA (18 nucleotides) under Arabidopsis thaliana (thale cress). Its description in RNAcentral is "ATSL176030". The record is from RNAcentral. Lineage: Eukaryota; Viridiplantae; Streptophyta; Magnoliopsida; Brassicales; Brassicaceae.